This is a long non-coding RNA of Mauremys reevesii (Reeves's turtle), 736 nucleotides long. RefSeq lists it as uncharacterized. The transcript is spliced from 3 exons. The record is from RefSeq and is a predicted model, not a curated record. NCBI's taxonomy places the organism in Eukaryota, Metazoa, Chordata, Testudines, Geoemydidae.
AGUUUCAUUCCUGGCUGCAUGUGUCUAUUUUUAUAUAACUCCUUUAUCUGACACACUCCUUCCUUUCUCUAACGUACCUCCAUGAUCUCAACCCAUCCCACCUUCAGUUCACCUGUCCUUUCUGGUCUAGGCUUUACUUCCAGACACAAAGUGUCCAGCUGUCAUGACUGCAGGAGUCUGGCGUAUGAAGAGUCUGGCUGAGAUGUGGCUGAGCUCUGGGUUUGCUCACUGCUGACAACACAGAGCCACAGAGUGUAAGGCCCAUCGGCGCCUCUAGUCUGACCUUGUGUAUAUCAACAGGCCACUAACCACCACCCAGCACCCACUCACCAAGCCCUACAACCAAGAUUAGACAAAUGUACAUCCUGCAGGAGGCUGAACUGUCGUGUGCCGCAGGCAGAGAACAGGAGGGACAGCCACAUUGUGGGUCUCUCUGGCCACCCUACUUUCUGGGGAAUGGUAGCCUGGGAAGCAACAGCAUCCUCCAGGGUUGGAUGUGAGCACUGAAGUUCCUGCUUCUCACUGGUCCCAUAAAUAUGUGUUAUCUAUCAGCAAGGAAUAACUACUAGUCAUUCACGGAGCCCUUUCCCAAGGCCAUUUACAGCCUACAACCGGCUCGAUCUUGUGUGCAUCUGAAAACCCUAGAAUAGUCUGGGGAGAGCAAAACUUUUCUUGCGGGUGAGUUUCAGUUGACGUAUUUUCCUUUCUGGGGAACAAACAAACAAAAAUCCAUUUG